RNAcentral lists this long non-coding RNA (303 nucleotides) under Setaria viridis. RNAcentral describes it as "long non-coding RNA (SVIR_LNC003513)". The record is from RNAcentral. Lineage: Eukaryota; Viridiplantae; Streptophyta; Magnoliopsida; Poales; Poaceae.
UUCCUAAUUGAGCCUUAUAGGCGAGAGAUGAAAUUUAAUUUAUUGAUAAUAUUGAGGGAUGUGAUGAUAGUAUCAUUAGUAUGUUAGAAAUCUUUACCCACUAUCCUGUACAAAAUUUUUUAUAUAAAAUCCAUUAAAUUUUAAUCUAUAUCAUUACUUUCUAAGACAUUUGUUUUCACGUUUUAAGCUUGAUAUUUUGAAAUUUAAUGAUAGGAAAAAGAUUCACAAAUUUAACCGAGUUUUGUAUAAAGAGAACCAACAAUCGUACAUAUGUUGGGCAUCUCCAUCGUACUCAGAUUUUUU